UCUCUACUUUAUGCACAUCUUUGCAGCAUUUUUUCCCUCAACAAUACAUAACUUUAUAUCCAAAGUAAAUCUUAAUCACAAAACACCGAACACACAAACAAUGAGGGUGAAAACAAAAAGGCCAUUUGUUUUUUUUUGUUGUUUUUUACACAAUGUACCAUACAGUAUGCAUGAGCCCUCUUUGUAUAAAUUACAUCCAAAAAAAAUCUAUUUUUUUUCUUUAGCCAGAAAGUUGAAGACAUUCAAUACUAAAAUAUUUAACCAAUUGUCUUAUAUGAGGACAAAAGGACCAAAAAAGGUUAGUCUUAUUCUUAUAUUGACAUCACUUUCUAAUCUGACAUCACCUUUUCUCUGCGGUAAAUAUUGUGAUCUCUGCUAUGGACAGUAAGUUACAGAGCUCAGAAAGCGUCUAUCAGUCUCUAAAGAGUAAUUAAAAAUCUUUCACUCUUUAAUUCAAAAAUGUAACUCAACAGUACUAAAAAAAGCUUCAUUAACAUGUUUAAUAACCACCAGCUGUUACAGAGCCACUGUUUGAAAUGUGAGGAGAGACAAUUCACAUUUUUCAGCCCCUAUCGGCACAGAAUCCAGACGUAAAGAAACACAGAUUUGUUAAAAAAUGACAUCAAACAAGCAUCAAGGCUUGUUUUUGAUCAAUUCUGGUACUUUUAAAAGUAUUAAAGGAUCUACUUUAGGCUCAACUUGCGUAUUGGUUUGAAAUGCAGCCUGUGUUUACAUUAUGGUGCCUUUUUACAGUAAGAAAACAAGAAGAAUAUGAUAAUAAAACGCUGGGUCACCUGAACACAAACAUCAGCUUUCUCCAGAACUGUAACGGAAAAAAUCUAGUCGACGAUCCACACAGCAAACAUUCUCAUAAAAAAACUAACGAAAAGAAAACAUUUGUAGAUAAAAACAAACAGAAAAACAGUUAAACCAGGGUUCUCAACUGAUAAUAUCACAUUUAAUGAUCUGUUUUCCAGACAGAAAGCUUCAGUAUUAAACCUUAAACAGCAGAAAGAGACAAACUUGCAGGAGGCAGAGAAAAAAAACGACGCUGCAAUAAAUACAUUCACUCCAGAUGCAAACCAACUAGAAUCCUGGUGAACUGAGACGAGAACUAGAAGCGGUUCUGCUUGGUGGUGUUUUCUGCUUCCAUGUGGCUCUGGUGCUGGAUGUUAAUACUGGUUAGAUGUUAGUGGGGGCUGAAUGAUCAAACACCCUGACUGACCGACACACUGACCGCUUUAAACCCAGCUUCUGAAUCUGCACUUGUACAUUAAGGCUGGAUUUCAAACCACAACAUGGUUUUUUUAUCGAAGACACCGGAUUGGUCAUUUUUAUUUGCGCUCUCAUCUUCUAUGGAUGUAUUUAAAAGUAGGUUUCCUCAAUUUCAGGCCGCAUUUUGUUACUUUCUUGCGUUCAACCGUCUGAACGUCAAAACCUGCCGACAGGUUCGAAAGCCGUGUUGUCCUAAAAAUAAACACAUAAAUAAAAGUCAACAAAAUUGGACGAGUUUACAAGAAGAAUCCUCAGAUUUCCAACUUUUUGAUGGUCAUAGAACUUAUGUGUGAUGUACACUUAAAGGGAAAUUUGGCAAAAAUAAACCAAUUGCAGUAACCAGAUUCUGUUAAAAAAAAAAAAAAACUUUUGUCACUUCAUUUUAAAAGUUUUCUGCACAGAAUCCAGACAUAAAGAAACACUGAUUUGUUAAAAAAUGACAUCAAACAACAUUUAGGCUUGUUUUUGACCAAUUCUGGUAUUUUUAGACGUGAUAAAGGAUCUACUUUAGGCUCAACUUGGUUUGAAUUGCAGCCUGCAUUUACAUUAUGGAAAGGUGUAAAAGUGAAGUUUGGCAAAAAAUAAACCGAAUACUGUAACCUGAUUCUGUAAAAAAAAAAAAAAAAAAAAAAACUUUUGGCGCUUCAUUUUAAAAGUUUUCUGCACAGAAUCCAGACAUAUAGAAAUGCUGAUUUGCUAAAAAACAACGACAUCAAACAAGUAUUUAGGCUUGCUUUUGACCAAUUCUGGUACUUUUAAAAGUAUUAAUGGAUCUACUUUAGGCUCAACUUGCGUAUUCAUUACAAAUGCAGCCUGCGUUUACUUUAUGGGAAAUUUGGCAAAAAUAAACCAAUUGCAGUAACUAUAUUCUGUAAAAAACUGGGACAGCUGCGAUCACCAGUUGCAAGAAAAAUGAAGGGACUAUUUGGUUGAACAGCACAGACCAAACAGACAAGUAUGGAAACUAAUUAAAAAUAUAAGUAGAGUUCCCGUGUUGUAGCACAGUUUUAAGUUUUUGUUAAACUAUCAAUAAAAAUUCAGCUUUCAUAGUCUCUUUUAGGAUUUACAGGAUUCUAACUUUUCUCUUUUUUUACUGCACAAAACACACGUUUGAUGUGUUUUUACUUCUGUUGUUUUUUUUCCAUAGAUGUGCAGAAAUUUAUGCUGCAAUGUGUCCAGAACAUACCCAGAAACUGUUUAGGGUUCAGAGGGUUAAAAAACAUGCAGCAUUUUACAAGUUUGACUUCUUUGUUGGACGAAAAAUUGAUUUAAAAGGCAAAUUUAUUCCACAGUUUUAUGGUGUUACCAAUACUGCAAAAAAUGUGACUCCACAUGUUUUAGAUAUUUAACGUUUAGUGUUUUUACAACCUCUAUUUAAAACUAGUCAUUACAUUUCUCUGCACAUCAAAUCUAGAAAGAUAUUUCACCAUGCUGAAUGUAUCUUCCAAUAACUUGCCUCACAGCUUUUGAGCCAUGCUGCACUUAUUUCAUCAUUACUGCUUACAUCUUUAAUUUGUUUUGUUGCUUGUCUCUUAUGUACUCUGUAAACACAGCCUGCAGUUCAGUCAAAAAGCUGCUGAUUUUGUUGUCAUGCGUCUGCAGGUUGUCGCUUCAUGGUUGCACUAAAGAGCGCCAAGUUUUUUGUUCUUUACAGUUUUAAAGUUUUUGUUAAACUAUCAAAAAAAAUUCAACUUUCAUCGUCUCUUGUAGCAUUUACAGUAUUAUAAUUAAUGUGUUUUUACUUCAAGCUGUGGUCGUUUUGUUUCCAUUGAGAUGCUGAAAUUUAUGCUGCAAUGUGUCCAAAGCGAGGGACCAAAAAAUGCUCAAAUUGUUUAGAGUUCAGACGGUUAAACGACAUGCUGCAUUUGACAAGUUUGACUUCUUUGUUGGAUGAAAAACUGAUUUAAAAGAUACACUUAUGCCACUGUUUAAAUUCUGGGAAAACAAACUGUGUUAAAUCAGCGCCAGUAUUGACUAAUUUCACACGUUAUCCAGCCCUAAUGACGUGCAUUUUUCUGGAGAAUGCUUAUCAGUCAGUGAGUGUGUCUGUAACGGACAUAAAACUUCUUUUUCAGUCUGUGGGUUCAGUUGUUUCCCUGCUGACGCCUUCAUCACACACUGAAGGGUAUAAACUCAUCAUCACCUAUCCACUCAUCAAAAGCUCAUUUUCUUUUCAUUACGGAGUAAAAUAAACUAAAAACACACAUCUGUUUACCGGUUCAGCUGGAAAUGUUAAAUGUGGGGAUAUUCCGAGGUCCAAAGCUGUGGGUUACAUGAUUCUGUUCCAGGGAAAACCUACUCUGACGGGAGCUGGAGCUUCAUGGAGGUCGAUGGUUGAUUAAUGGAUUAAAAGUGGGGCUGGUUGUUGUGUCGUUCCAAGUCCAGACUAAAAACCUCCACAUCAGUCCCAGUCCAGCCUCAAGUGUACUGGUACUCCUCUGAGUACUCCGUGUCCUCUGGAGCGUACUGGUUGUCUCCGGCUGCAAACUGCUCGUCUCCGGGAGCGUAUUGGUUGUCGCUUGUGUACGACUGAUCUGCUGGCUGUUGGUUCUCUGCAGUGUUCAGGCUGGAUUUCUU
Molecule: long non-coding RNA, 3852 nt
Organism: Amphiprion ocellaris (clown anemonefish)
Lineage: Eukaryota; Metazoa; Chordata; Actinopteri; Pomacentridae
Source: Ensembl